This 491-nucleotide ribosomal RNA is filed under the name uncultured bacterium. RNAcentral's name for it is "partial 16S ribosomal RNA". It matches the Rfam family "Bacterial small subunit ribosomal RNA", at positions 29 to 507 of the family's 1533-position model. The record is from RNAcentral.
AUGAACGCUAGCUACAGGCUUAACACAUGCAAGUCGAGGGGAAACGGCAUCGAAAGCUUGCUUUUGAUGGGCGUCGACCGGCGCACGGGUGAGUAACGCGUAUCCAACCUGCCCAUCACUUGGGAAUAACCUUGCGAAAGUAAGACUAAUGCCCAAUGACAUCCCACGAAGGCAUCCGAAUGGGAUUAAAGAUUUAUCGGUGAUGGAUGGGGAUGCGUCUGAUUAGCUUGUUGGCGGGGUGACGGCCCACCAAGGCAACGAUCAGUAGGGGUUCUGAGAGGAAGGUCCCCCACAUUGGAACUGAGACACGGUCCAAACUCCUACGGGAGGCAGCAGUGAGGAAUAGUGGUCAAUGGGCGAGAGCCUGAACCAGCCAAGUAGCGUGCAGGAUGACGGCCCUAUGGGUGGUAAACUGCUUUUAUAAGGGAAUAAAGUGGGUCACGUGUGACUUUUUGCAUGUACCUUAUGAAUAAGGACCGGCUAAUUCCGUG